RNAcentral lists this long non-coding RNA (725 nucleotides) under Ananas comosus (pineapple). RNAcentral's name for it is "long non-coding RNA (ACOM_LNC009970)". The record is from RNAcentral. Lineage: Eukaryota; Viridiplantae; Streptophyta; Magnoliopsida; Poales; Bromeliaceae.
UUAUAUAUAUCUAUAAACCUAUAUGAAGCCACAAUACUUUUUGCCACGUGGCAUGUUAUUCUUACUUCUCAUAGCCAACUUUAAAUCAAACAACCUUCUCCUCUUUUCAACUCUCAAUUCUUCACCUCCCCACUCGUCUAAUUAUAUGUAAGUUACAACAUUUAAUUAUAUGUAACUUUAAAUCCAACUUUAAAUCAAACCACUUUCUUCUUUUCUUAACGCCUAACUCACCUCACCACUACUCUAAUUACAUGCAAUAUUUAAUUACAUGCACCAUAUUAAGAUUCUAUUUUAUAACUUUAACCACUUUCCUCCUCCAUUAAUCUCCCACUCCCUCUCUUUUGUAAUUCUUUUACAUGCACCACUCCCCUCCUCCAUUAAUUAAUCUCCUACCCCCUCUCUUUUGUAACUCUUUUACAUGCACCAUAAAAAAAUAUCAUCGUCUAAUCUCCUACUCCGCACUCAUCUCCCUCUUUCUCUCAUUGUGUUAACAAAGAAGAAGAAGAAGAGCCUCUGAAGAACAUUAUCUCCUUCAAGAAGUAUCGUCCCGCGAAGCCGAGCCGCGACCUAUAUAAGUGCUCGCUGAGUCGGUCCGCGCGGGAGCCUCUGCUUACUAUGUAAAUUUAGUCAUACAAAUUAACUGUACUUAAUAUGUUAUAGCUUUCUAUAUAUCAAUAAAUCUUAAAUAUAAAAUUUAUUAAAAUUUUUAAAUUUUACUUCUAUUA